GGAAUAUUGGACAAUGGGGGGAACCCUGAUCCAGCGACGCCGCGUGAGUGAAGAAGUAUUUCGGUAUGUAAAGCUCUAUCAGCAGGGAAGAAAGAAAUGACGGUACCUGACUAAGAAGCCCCGGCUAACUACGUGCCAGCAGCUGCGGUAAUACGUAGGGGGCAAGCGUUAUCCGGAUUUACUGGGUGUAAAGGGAGCGUAGGUGGCAUGGUAAGCCAGAAGUGAAAACCCGGGGCUCAACCCCGUGGAUUGCUUUUGGAACUAUCAGGCUGGAGUGCUGGAGGGGUAAGCGGAAUUCCUAGUGUAGCGGUGAAAUGCGUAGAUAUUAGGAGGAACACCGGUGGCGAAGGCGGCUUACUGGACAGAAACUGACACUGAGGCUCGAAAGCGUGGGGAGCAAAC
Molecule: ribosomal RNA, 402 nt
Filed under: uncultured bacterium
Lineage: Bacteria
Description: bacterial SSU rRNA
Rfam family: Bacterial small subunit ribosomal RNA
Source: RNAcentral